GUGUCAGCAGCCGCGGUAAUACUGAGGGUGCGAGCGUUAAUCGGAAUUACUGGGCGUAAAGCGAGUGUAGGCGGUUACCUAAGUCGGAUGUGAAAGCCCCGGGCUUAACCUGGGAAUUGCAUUCGAUACUGGGUGACUGGAGUUUGGUAGAGGUAAGUGGAAUUCCGGGUGUAGCGGUGAAAUGCGUAGAUAUCCGGAGGAACAUCAGUGGCGAAGGCGGCUUACUGGACCAAAACUGACGCUGAGGCUCGAAAGCGUGGGUAGCAAACAGGAUUAGAAACCCCUGUAGUCC
Molecule: ribosomal RNA, 292 nt
Filed under: uncultured bacterium
Lineage: Bacteria
Description: partial 16S ribosomal RNA
Rfam family: Bacterial small subunit ribosomal RNA
Source: RNAcentral